RNAcentral lists this long non-coding RNA (285 nucleotides) under Pan troglodytes (chimpanzee). Its description in RNAcentral is "long non-coding RNA NONPTRT004266". The record is from RNAcentral. Lineage: Eukaryota; Metazoa; Chordata; Mammalia; Primates; Hominidae.
CACCAAGUAAGCAUUUUAUCAUCUCAUUAUCACCACAAAGAUGCAUGAUGAAAUGUAUGAAAUGAUAUAAUGUCUGGGAUUUGCUUGAAAAUAAUCACAGCUGUGGGAGGAAGUAAGAAUACAGACAAAACAACAAACAAGAUUGGGCAGGAGCUGACCGUUGUUUAAGAUGAUCACAGGAUUAUGAAGACAAAAGGGGAAAAGAAAGAGAAGAAGAAGAAGCAAAACAGCAGCAUCAAAAACUGUAUGUGAUCCAUAAAGCCUAAAAUACUUAUUAAAUGCCAA